This 794-nucleotide small RNA is filed under the name Drosophila ananassae. RNAcentral's name for it is "GF26698". The record is from RNAcentral. Lineage: Eukaryota; Metazoa; Arthropoda; Insecta; Diptera; Drosophilidae.
UAUUUGUUAUUUUGUCUCCCCCAGGACUCUUCGAUGUGGGAAGCCCAGUAACAAUAGUUUUCAACUCCUCCAACCGAAAGAAGUAGCGCGCAUUGUCAGUACGUCCAGGUUGCAGUCGUCAAAGUUAUUGGAGAAGCGGUCUUCAAGGUGUGCGGCAAAAACCUCAGCUUUCUCCUGUGCCGUCUUCGUCCAAGAGGUGCCGGUCGUCCUUCUGCUGGUGGUCGUCAUGGGAGCGCCUGUUGAGGUCUUAAGGGGAUAAUUUGAGGGAGGCUGACGCUUGAGUUUCCUUGUUAUCCUCCAGAUUCUCGUCAUUAUGUAUCGGUCGUCAGGGUUCAGACGAGCAAGUUGCCCACCAACGCAGUUUUCUCUUGCUCUUUUGAUAGCCUUUGUCAGUUUGUUUUUGAGCCUGGAGGCUUUUCUUUUGUUGUCGUCAGUCUUAUUUCUCUUCAAUUUCUUUUUGCAGGACUCAUAUUGCGCUAUGAGGAUUUUAGUGCGGAGAUCAAGUUUGAGUUUUGGCUUGGAAUUGUGUCCCUUAUUAUUAUGUGCACCGGUGGAGGGAGUGGCAUGCUUUCCAAGUGCUUCACCAAUUUUACGGCUCCUUUCAAGUGUAACUUGGAACUCCCUGAUUCCCUGGUUGCUACGGGGAGGAUAGAGGGGCCAACUCGGACUGGAGGAGGGAAUUGCUGCUGGAGGACUCAGCGGAGUACGCCCACUUGCUACCUCAAUCAGAAGGAGAAGGUGAUCCGAGGAAAGCGCGUCCAGUGAGGAGAUUCUAAUGUUUUUUUUUUUAAUUU